This 565-nucleotide unclassified non-coding RNA is filed under the name Hevea brasiliensis (rubber tree). The record is from RNAcentral. Lineage: Eukaryota; Viridiplantae; Streptophyta; Magnoliopsida; Malpighiales; Euphorbiaceae.
AGCUAACAACAAAAAUCAAAAGAGAAGAAAUACUAGGGAUAAACAACAUCAUAAUGUUGAAGACUUUACUUGCUAUAUAGGAUUAUAAGUUAUCCAAUCAAGGGACAAAAUACUCUACAUUUUUUUAAAACUAUGCAAAGGGGCAGAAAAGGGGAAAAUGUAGAUGGGUUCUGUGAUGAAAAUAGAAUCUCCAUGCAUCGUUGCCAAAAUUAUUAGUCAUCUGAAAGUUCAUGGAGAAUUUGGUGGCGUCUUCAAAGAGACUUCUAUCUUAUUUUUAUGUUCCAUCACAGCAGCUCGAAACUCCUCAAUAAUAGAGGCAUCCUUGAACUUCAAAGCAAUUGUUGAGAGUCCAUCUUUCCCAUCAUCAGCACUAUUCAUACAAGCAAAGGUGACACCUUUUUUAUCCAUGCUUGCGAGCUUCAUUUCAGGAUAAAGGUUGGCAUUCAAAAUCAACCUGUAAUUUCCUCUGGUUCUCAUAACAAGUCUAGCUUUUCCAGUUCCACUUGAAAUAUUGAGCUUCAGCUCUCCUUUUCCACGCUCCUUCCACCCUCCAUUAAGAUAUUCA